GACGAACGCUGGCGGCGUGCUUAACACAUGCAAGUCGAGCGGUAAGGCCCUUCGGGGUACACGAGCGGCGAACGGGUGAGUAACACGUGGGUGACCUGCCCUCAGCUCUGGGAUAAGCCUGGGAAACCGGGUCUAAUACCGGAUAUGACUCCAUGACGCAUGUUGUGGGGUGGAAAGCCUUGUGCGGCUGAGGAUGGGCCCGCGGCCUAUCAGCUUGUUGGUGGGGUGAUGGCCUACCAAGGCGACGACGGGUAGCCGGCCUGAGAGGGCGACCGGCCACACUGGGACUGAGACACGGCCCAGACUCCUACGGGAGGCAGCAGUGGGGAAUCUUGCGCAAUGGGCGAAAGCCUGACGCAGCGACGCCGCGUGAGGGAUGAC
This 381-nucleotide ribosomal RNA is filed under the name uncultured bacterium. Its description in RNAcentral is "bacterial SSU rRNA". It matches the Rfam family "Bacterial small subunit ribosomal RNA", at positions 28 to 412 of the family's 1533-position model. The record is from RNAcentral.